This 611-nucleotide ribosomal RNA is filed under the name Vibrio cholerae. RNAcentral describes it as "partial 23S ribosomal RNA". It matches the Rfam family "Bacterial large subunit ribosomal RNA", at positions 2270 to 2875 of the family's 2925-position model. Lineage: Bacteria; Pseudomonadati; Pseudomonadota; Gammaproteobacteria; Vibrionales; Vibrionaceae. The record is from RNAcentral.
UUGACUGGGGCGGUCUCCUCCCAAAGAGUAACGGAGGAGCACGAAGGUGGGCUAAUCACGGUUGGACAUCGUGAGGUUAGUGCAAUGGCAUAAGCCCGCUUAACUGCGAGAAUGACGGUUCGAGCAGGUGCGAAAGCAGGUCAUAGUGAUCCGGUGGUUCUGUAUGGAAGGGCCAUCGCUCAACGGAUAAAAGGUACUCCGGGGAUAACAGGCUGAUACCGCCCAAGAGUUCAUAUCGACGGCGGUGUUUGGCACCUCGAUGUCGGCUCAUCACAUCCUGGGGCUGAAGUCGGUCCCAAGGGUAUGGCUGUUCGCCAUUUAAAGUGGUACGCGAGCUGGGUUUAGAACGUCGUGAGACAGUUCGGUCCCUAUCUGCCGUGGGCGUUGGAAGAUUGAAGGGGGCUGCUCCUAGUACGAGAGGACCGGAGUGGACGAACCUCUGGUGUUCGGGUUGUGUCGCCAGACGCAUUGCCCGGUAGCUAAGUUCGGAAUUGAUAAGCGCUGAAAGCAUCUAAGCGCGAAGCGAGCCCUGAGAUGAGUCUUCCCUGAUACUUUAAGUAUCCUAAAGGGUUGUUCGAGACUAGAACGUUGAUAGGCAGGGUGUGUAAGCG